This is a long non-coding RNA of Pelobates fuscus (common spadefoot toad), 266 nucleotides long. RefSeq lists it as uncharacterized. Lineage: Eukaryota; Metazoa; Chordata; Amphibia; Anura; Pelobatidae. The transcript is spliced from 3 exons. The record is from RefSeq and is a predicted model, not a curated record.
AGAUGAAGUUUCCAGUCGAAGAUCUGUGGUUAUGCCCUGUAAACGUUGGAGCUCACUGGAUUUUAUUGUAUCUUCUUGUGGAUGUACAAGCCGGAUGAACAGCCAGAUCAAUGGAAAACAUGGAUAAUGUACCACAACAACCAGCAGGAUUCCACUAGCUGUGGAGUUUUAAUAUUGAUGUUUGCCAAGGAGUUCCUACGGACACGUACAAUCAGUGAAGUGAAGACCUCUCCGGAAUAUAUAAGGGAUGCACGACUGGAAAUAGC